AUAAAGGCUCUUUGAUAAAAGAGCCACAAAAUUUUCUAAAGAAAGUAACA
Non-coding RNA from Monodelphis domestica (gray short-tailed opossum), 50 nucleotides. NCBI's taxonomy places the organism in Eukaryota, Metazoa, Chordata, Mammalia, Didelphimorphia, Didelphidae. The record is from Rfam.